AUCAAUACAACUUUCAACAACGGAUCUCUUGGCUCUCGCAUCGAUGAAGAACGCAGCGAAAUGCGAUAAGUAAUGUGAAUUGCAGAAUUCAGUGAAUCAUCGAAUCUUUGAACGCACCUUGCGCUCCUUGGUAUUCCGAGGAGCAUGCCUGUUUGAGUGUCAUUAAAUUCUCAACCUCACCCAUUUUGUC
This 190-nucleotide ribosomal RNA is filed under the name Coprinopsis brunneofibrillosa. RNAcentral's name for it is "5.8S RNA". The stretch from base 9 to 162 matches the Rfam family "5.8S ribosomal RNA". Rfam says of the family: 5.8S ribosomal RNA (5.8S rRNA) is a component of the large subunit of the eukaryotic ribosome. Lineage: Eukaryota; Fungi; Basidiomycota; Agaricomycetes; Agaricales; Psathyrellaceae. The record is from RNAcentral.